Triticum aestivum (bread wheat) is the source of this 690-nucleotide long non-coding RNA. RefSeq lists it as uncharacterized. The record is from RefSeq and is a predicted model, not a curated record. Lineage: Eukaryota; Viridiplantae; Streptophyta; Magnoliopsida; Poales; Poaceae. The transcript is spliced from 3 exons.
GGCCCACGUAUAAGUCUAACCUAAGUGCUCUCUCGCUCUCUGUUCGACUUCACGAUUGGAUCCAGGGCGACGAGCACGCCGCCGAUGCCGUCGCCAGGACUGACUCGUCGCCGCCGCACUGUCAACUCGCCAAGUGACCUCUUCUCCGCCGCUAUGGCAAGAAUGAGAGGGAAAUACUCAAAUCACCAUGUAAUCUGCGGGAGAUGGCAUGACAGCAAGCUAAUGGACGAGGAUCGAGGACAUCGAUGACCAUUCACGACAUGAAAAGAUGCAUGAGGCAACCAAUGGGCAUCAUUUUGUUCUCAUCUCACGCAUUAUAUUAUGCAAGGUGAAGGGAGUCAGAUGCAGGCCUCUGGAUAAAAAGAACCUGGCAGGGUCCAAUGAUGUUAUGUGCAAAUUGCAAAACAACUGCAGUGCAAAUGGGCAAUACCUUAGUCUUUUAAUUACUUGUCUUGUCAAGACAAGUAAUUUGAGACGGAGGUAAUAUAUUUUUUUCUGUUGGACAGCAAGAGAGUAGAGUGGAGAAGGAUCAGAUGUUUGUUGAAUGCACUAAUUUUCUCUCAUAGCAAUAUCUGACCGACCGUCCUCUUGUAAUGCAAUGACUUCUAACAGUGAUGCCCAACAUGAGAAAUGGUCAACGUGAGUCAUCAUAGACCAGUCCUUGUCUCGGUGACCAACUCCAAGGCGGCC